Molecule: small nucleolar RNA, 117 nt
Organism: Chlorocebus sabaeus (green monkey)
Lineage: Eukaryota; Metazoa; Chordata; Mammalia; Primates; Cercopithecidae
Source: Ensembl
GAUGCGGCUUUUCCUGUAGCCUGCACGUCUCUGGAAACGCCUCAUAGAGUAACUCGGUGGUUUUACUUUACUCACAGGACUCUUGUUAGAUCUGUGGGAAGGAACUACAAGACAGUU